Molecule: long non-coding RNA, 1086 nt
Organism: Siniperca chuatsi (mandarin fish)
Lineage: Eukaryota; Metazoa; Chordata; Actinopteri; Centrarchiformes; Sinipercidae
Exons: 3
Source: RefSeq, a predicted model, not a curated record
UAAAAUGGAUUCCAAUGGAUUACCACAGUCAAAGCAAAAAAAACAAAAAAAAACACUCUUGCAUCAUAAUCCACUUAUCCACUAUUGAUAGGUUUACAUAUGUUGUGUAACCUAUGUCUAACCUAUCUAAAUACACUACCUACCUGUGUUGCGCUAUUGCCUCAACAUAGCUCUGAAGCUCUGGAAGUAGUGCAUUUACUGCUUUAUUGGCUGAGUGACUAUUGUUUUGAAUCUGCUGGCAUACCGAUCCGAGGUCUACAGAAAACUCUGGAUAUUGCUGAAAAGAAGAGGGAGGGACCUGAGACAUUACUUAUUGACUGCACCUCAACUCUAAUGGAGAUCCAGAUGUGAUGUUGUUCAGAACAUCCAUGAACACGGCACGCUGGAACCAGCAGAUGCAUAAGCCCUCAUGGAGUCUCUGAGAGAGGGUGGCACCAGGUCACCAAAGGCUUUACGAGAGAGAAGUGCUGUCUUGUCCACUACUGCACCGGCCCUCCUUUCCAGAUCAUGCCAGAAGAUCACCAAGGAUGAGGCAGUUGGCCUAUAUCUUGCACGCCAUUCACAGUUUAACACAGGACAUUAAUGCUAGUUAGCAAGCGGAGCCUUGGUUGCCGCCAGCUGCAAUUUCAAAUGACCAAUAACCAAUAACAGACUGCUAAAUGGUGGCAAUGUCUAGGGGUGUUCAAUUUAUAAUCCUCGUCCCCGAGUCUAGCUGCUUAAAGUAGAUAGCGAGUUUAUUGCGUUGGGGAGAUUUUUAGCAGCGGCGCUGCACCGCUGUUGAAUGCAUAUAGAGGAAACACUGAAUUUAACGGUACAAACUCCCAAAUAAUUGUGCAAUUAAUCAAAUGACCAAAAUCUUAACAUACAUGAACCUGGGACUUUUUUGGCCCUUGUGGGUCUGUUGCCUGCUUUGCCCAGUUGGUAAUCCAGCCAUGAUGCUUAAGUGCAUCUGCCUGUGAUAUCACACAUUAUUAAUGUUUGACCACCAACUGUUUCACCCACCGGACACAACCACUGUGUAGAACUUUCACAGGCUCCAGUACUAUGAGAAGUUACAUCAAUAUUAACAUGUAAUAUAUGUAUCAA